GACGAACGCUGGCGGCGUGCCUAACACAUGUAAGUCGAGCGGGGUUAACCGCAAGGUUAACCUAGCGGCGGACGGGUGAGUAACGCGUGGAUAACCUGCCUCAAGGGUCGGGAUAACAGCUCGAAAGGGCUGCUAAUACCGGAUGUGAUGCACUUUUCGCAUGGAGGGUGCAUGAAAGGGGAAACCCGCCUUGAGAUGGAUCCGCGUCCCAUCAGCUAGUUGGUAGGGUAAAGGCCUACCAAGGCGACGACGGGUAGCCGGCCUGAGAGGGUGACCGGCCACACUGGGACUGAGAUACGGCCCAGACUCCUACGGGGGGCAGCAGUGGGGAAUAUUGCACAAUGGGCGAAAGCCUGAUGCAGCGACGCCGCGUGAGCGAAGAAGGCCUUCGGGUUGUAAAGCUCUGUCUGGAGGGACGAAAGAAAUGACGGUACCUCCGGAGGAAGCCACGGCUAACUACGUG
This 463-nucleotide ribosomal RNA is filed under the name uncultured bacterium. RNAcentral's name for it is "bacterial SSU rRNA". It matches the Rfam family "Bacterial small subunit ribosomal RNA", at positions 28 to 507 of the family's 1533-position model. The record is from RNAcentral.